GCCUGAAUAGCUCAGUAGGUUAGAGCGGCUGCCUUGUAAGCAGCAGGUCGUGGGUUCGAUUCCUACUUCAGGCA
This 74-nucleotide transfer RNA is filed under the name Bacillus phage vB_BmeM-Goe8. It matches the Rfam family "tRNA". From Rfam's summary of the family: Transfer RNA (tRNA) molecules are approximately 80 nucleotides in length. Their secondary structure includes four short double-helical elements and three loops (D, anti-codon, and T loops). Further hydrogen bonds mediate the characteristic L-shaped molecular structure. tRNAs have two regions of fundamental functional importance: the anti-codon, which is responsible for specific mRNA codon recognition, and the 3' end, to which the tRNAs corresponding amino acid is attached (by aminoacyl-tRNA synthetases). tRNAs cope with the degeneracy of the genetic code in two manners: having more than one tRNA (with a specific anti-codon) for a particular amino acid; and 'wobble' base-pairing, i.e. permitting non-standard base-pairing at the 3rd anti-codon position. Lineage: Duplodnaviria; Heunggongvirae; Uroviricota; Caudoviricetes; Herelleviridae. The record is from Rfam by way of RNAcentral.